RNAcentral lists this ribosomal RNA (432 nucleotides) under Capnocytophaga sputigena. Its description in RNAcentral is "bacterial SSU rRNA". It matches the Rfam family "Bacterial small subunit ribosomal RNA", at positions 28 to 460 of the family's 1533-position model. Lineage: Bacteria; Pseudomonadati; Bacteroidota; Flavobacteriia; Flavobacteriales; Flavobacteriaceae. The record is from RNAcentral.
GAUGAACGCUAGCGGCAGGCCUAACACAUGCAAGUCGAGGGAGAGGUUACCUUCGGGUAACCAAAACCGGCGCACGGGUGCGUAACGCGUAUACAAUCUGCCUUUCACAUAGGGAUAGCCCGAAGAAAUUUGGAUUAAUACCUAAUGGUAUAUAAGAGCGGCAUCGUUUUUAUAUUAAAGCUACGGUGGUGAAAGAUGAGUAUGCGUUCUAUUAGCUAGUUGGAGAGGUAACGGCUCCCCAAGGCGACGAUAGAUAGGGGUUCUGAGAGGGAUGUCCCCCACACUGGUACUGAGAUACGGACCAGACUCCUACGGGAGGCAGCAGUGAGGAAUAUUGGACAAUGGUCGGAAGACUGAUCCAGCCAUGCCGCGUGCAGGAUGAAGGUCCUAUGGAUUGUAAACUGCUUUUGUAAGGGAAGAAUAAGGGGUACG